This 253-nucleotide ribosomal RNA is filed under the name uncultured bacterium. RNAcentral's name for it is "partial 16S ribosomal RNA". It matches the Rfam family "Bacterial small subunit ribosomal RNA", at positions 524 to 776 of the family's 1533-position model. The record is from RNAcentral.
UACGUAGGGUGCAAGCGUUAAUCGGAAUUACUGGGCGGAAAGCGUGCGCAGGCGGUUUUGUAAGCCAGAUGUGAAAUCCCCGGGCUUAACCUGGGAAUGGCAUUUGGGACUGCAAGGCUAGAGUGUGUCAGAGGGGGGUAGAAUUCCACGUGUAGCAGUGAAAUGCGUAGAUAUGUGGAGGAAUACCGAUGGCGAAGGCAGCCCCCUGGGAUAACACUGACGCUCAUGCACGAAAGCGUGGGGAGCAAACAGG